GCCCUACAGGAGGAAAGGGGCUGUGGGUAAGCCCCCCGCGGGUGGUCGACACCACCUUCCUGGUCUUCUGAAGACCUCAGUGGGAGAAGCGAAUUCCCAGGAACCUCGACUUGGGAAUGGAUGACCCUCUGGUCUGUAGUAAGGAGACGGCCAUUGUGGUGUCCCUAGACCCCCCCCAGGGGUCACACAAGGAAAUAUCAGGCGCAGGGUCUCAGGGAAAGCCUACUGGACAAAGCACUGGCCUGUGUCAUUGUGUCACUCUGCUCCACUUCUGCCAGAGAGAGAGGACGACACAUCGCCUCCCCAACCAGGACCACAGGGCCUCUGGGGGCAGCAAUGACCCUGACAUCAGCUGCAGCCACCUGCCCACCAGAGGCUGAGAAGUCCUCCCCUGGAAGACGCCACAGGCCGUCACUGUCCCUGCCAGUUGGUCCCUCUCUCCAGUCCCUGCGACCACCACUCUGCUGGCUGACCGACAGCUCUGCCCACUGUGGACACGUCAUAGGUAUUGACGCAGGUGCAUGUGGCCUGUUGGGACUGCUUCCUGCACCUACAGGGUGUGUCCAAGGUCCAGCCAUGUUCAGAAUGGGUCACGCCUUGGGCCUGGGACUGAGAAUUUCACAUGGCAUAGUUGUGUGUGGUUUGGGGAAAUUCCUGGAAAUGCAGGUGGGGGUCCCACCACCUAAGGCCUCAUAGUGCGACCGUGCUGUGGGCAGGGUCUGUAAGAGGCAAUGGGUUUAAAUAAGGGUGCUCCUGUGAGCACCACAGAGGAGAGCUGGACAUGGGCCAAGGCCACCAUGUGAGGUGACCUGGGCUGCUGUGGGGACCCCUGCUCUGCAGUUCCUGUGUGGACAUGGGUCUCAGGGCCCUGGAGUGUGGACCUAGGGGUGGAGCUGCUGGCCAUCAUCCAAAGCAGCUGUGCCACCUCCCUCUCCACCCGCAGCUCGUGAGGGGCCUGUCUGUCCCUGGCUGUGAAGCGGUCACCCUGUGGUUUUCAGGUGCCUGCAGCCGUUUCUGGGUCUUCUUCCUGAAGUCGUGUCUCUUCCCAUUUUCUCACUGGGUUAUUCGGGUGUUACUAUGGAGUCUCAAGAGCUCUGUCUUCUACACUCCAUGCACUGCGUUUCACCCCCGUGUGAUUGCAAAGGAUUCCCUGUUGGAAAUGGGCAGGUGUCCCUCUCUAACCCCAGAGGCACCCACAGCAGGGGACAGCCUCUGAUCCCUGGAAUUGCAGGGCUGAGCAGUGUAGGAACAGAGGCCACAGUGAUGAGGUAAGUCGCUGUCCCCUAAUGAGCCGUCCAUGGGCUUCUCCAAAGAGCACUGCUCCAAAUCCCCACCACCUCCACGCCGUCGGCCCAUGGAUUCCACAGGGUGGCCUACCCAGAGAGGAGCACCACUUUCCCAGGUUUGAGACUAAAAGCCAAAGAAAUCUGUUGCUCUGAAGCUCUGGAUGGUGGAGGUGAAUAGUGGACACACAUCAAAGUCCUCGAGGGACAGCAGGUCACUUGGAAUUGUGCUUGGCUGCCACACCCUGAUCAACUCAUCUAUGACUUCCUUCAGCCUCUUGAAAUCUGGAUAGAUCAUUCCAGAACUGCCCUCUCCCUCCCCAGAUUCCUGGGGGAGGGGGGAGGGCGCACAGGUGGUCUCCAUGGGGCUCUUUAUCUUCAUUCUCUGCUGCCACAGGUGGCCAGGCUUAUGCCAGCAGUACCCUCAUUGGGAUCUAGGACACCAGAUGCACCAUGUUCCUCCACUCACUAUUGGGGAGCAGCGUCUCUUCUGGGGGCUAAGAAGUGUUCUAUGGUAACCUUGCACAUCAGUCAUGAAGGCUCAUGGCCUCGUCCGCAGCAUGGAGCCGAGCAGGUGAGCUCCUUUCUCCUAGCUGCCUCCCCAGCAUCCCCACCACUGGAACCUCCUCCCCCAGACUCAGCCCAAGGCUCCUGCCAUGACCAGGCCUGGACUCACUGACAUGGCCAAACGUGUCCCCAAGUUCAUGCUGAAGUUCUCCAAUGUGGUCCUGAGGGCUCUACCCCAACAUCUGGGUGCCUGCCCUUAGAAACAGGGCCAGGGGAGUCUGGCCUCUGCUUCCCUCUGAGGACACAGCUAGACAGCGCCAUCUUGAAACCAGACACCCAAUCAGCUGGCGCCUGGACCUUGGCAUUCACACACCCAGAACAGUGAGCCGCGGGUUUCCACUGCUUUUACACACCCAGCACACUCACCUUUUUGGAAGUUCUCUUCAAUCACAGUACUCCAUUUGUGGAACUCCUUUCGCAUCCUGGUAAACAGCCGCAUUUCUUCUGGCCCUACAACUUCCUCGGCUUGUACUAUAGCAUUGAUGUCCUGAUUGAACUCAUUGAUUUUCUGCAAAUAAGGACAACAUCAGUGUGAGCAGACCUUCAAACAACAGACGCCAGGGUGUUUGCAGGCCUGUGGGUGUUGGGCUUGGAUGAGCCUUUCCCCCUCCUGGGCGACCCUGGAUUAAAGGGGGUGAGGCAUUUCAGGUACCAGGAAGCCCCACCCUUCCCUUCCACCUUCAGUGGAGGAGAGGACUGAGACCUCCUCCCUGCUACCCAGCCUGCACACACCCUCCACUCCCUGGCCACUGCCUCAACCCUGUCCCUUUUAGGACCAAGUGGGCAGAGGGCCGUGGAUAGCCUCAUGGGAGUGAGGACAGAAGCGGAUGAGGCUCAGCGUCCCCGUGUGGGCACCAGGCGGAAUCUGCCCCACGAGGCCCCGGGGAAUACUCACGUCUAUCAGGAAGAAGGUUUUCAAGCUCUCCUCCUCUGGGACGUCCACGCCAAAGUAUUUCAACUCCUCGGUUACUUUCUGGAUAUUUUCCUUUAUUUGAUUUUCCAGCAGUGGCAGGGAUUUCUGGGAAAAUGAUGGGAUAUACAAAUAUGGACGCGGGAAAAAAAAAUGAGGCCACAGGCCUGCUCACCAGAGUAGCUGCAAGGUACAUGUGACGUCCUGAUGUCCUCUAAAGACUUUCCUGUGCAGAGAGACACACUGGGGCAUCCCCUUCCACCAGGGCUGCCCACAGCCUGCUCCUGCACACAAGCCCAUGAGCCGCACAGAGACGCCCACUGAACAUGAUUCCUGGCCACCUAGGAGCCACCAAGGUGCCACUGCUUCUGCAUCAUGUUCCACGAGCUCUGGUGGUGCAGGGGUGCAGACAGAUCCACUGUCUGUCGUUGGAACAACUUGAGAUUCCUCAACAUUUAGAUGUUGUUCUCAGCAGGGAGAAGCUAGCAGGGACUUCUGUUCCUAACAGGUGGCUAAAGUUAUCCUACUACCCGGUAUAUACCCAAGGGACUUAAAAUCAGUGAACUACAGGGACACAGCCACAUCAAUGUUUGGAGCAGCUCAAUUCACAAUAGCUAAACUAUGAAUCAACCCAGGUGCCCUUCAACAGAUGAAUGGAUAAAGAAAAUGUGGUGUAUGUACACAGUGGAACAUUACUCAGCCAUAUCGAAGAGUCAAUUAUGGCAUUGACCACUAAAGAAACGGAACUGGAGAUUAUCCUACUAAGUGAAAUAAGCCAAUCCAAAAAAAGCAAAACAAAACAGAGGGCAAACAUUCUGACAUGUGGAUGUUAACACCCAAUAAAUGAGGAGGGAGGGGGAAAGAGAAGUUCAUUGAUUUAAACAAAAGUGAAUCAAGGAAAGAAAUGAAAGAUGACCAUAGGGAUGACUUUAGAGAGAAUCAGACAUAAUUUACUACAUUCAUAUACAUAAAUACAUGACCAGUGCAAUUCCACAUCAUUACAACCAUAGGAAUGGGAAGUUAUAGUUCACGUAUGUAAAAUAUAUCAAAAUGCACUCCACCCUCAUAUAUAUAUGUAAAAACAACACAUAAAAAAUGGACUGGUUAAAAAAGGGGGGGAAUCUGAAGCAAAUACCAAAAAAUCUACCAAGUUCGUAUAUAAGUGUCUAUUAACUGUUUUGUAUAUACUUGAUAUAUUUCAUAUGUAAAGAAAUCACAUCACGUCUGAAGCAAAAUCAGAAAUAAAUGCAAAAGUCCUAUUUAAAAAUUAAAAAUAAAUACAAUAAAAUACAAGGUGACUGAGUGCCCCCAGGUCCCCGCCCCUGCAGCUUGGAGGGUGCAGCCAGGCCCUCAGCAGCCUCCCUCACACGCGCCCAUGACUGGCAAUGUGAGGAGGGAGACUCAGAGUCCGAAGCCAGCUGAUGGGCCUCAGACUCACCUUGGGCCUCGAGGACAGUGACCUAGCUAAGAAAAAUUGAGCUUGGGUUUAGGAGUGUGACCCAGUGCAGGGGCAAAGAUAAGUCCCAGGCAGCUCUAAGUGGGCAGUCUGCUAAGGGAUGAGCUCUUUCUGCAUGACGCUGGCCCAGAGAGCUCCACCCUCAUGACCAGGUCCACCAGACAUCACCCUGCUCUCCACCUGCACCCUGGGACUUUGGGAAAGACCUUGAACGCUGGUGGGCAGCAUGGCAAGAUCUCUACUGAGACUCUGUGCCCACAUGGGAGGCAGCUCUCCAACAGGGCUGCUGCCCCAGUCCACACUGGCUGAGGGCCCCUAACUCUGAGAAUUACAGUGGUGUGAGCGAGACACUCUGCCAGGUCCGACAGAAUCCAACACUCUUCUCCCUGGAGACCCACUGGGAACCCAGCUCCUAAGGAUACCCACACAUCAAACCCCAGGACAGAUGGACUCACAGCCAGGGUGCCACCCACAUCUGCUGUGAGAGGCAGCAGAAUCCCAACACCAAGGCUUCUCGUGCUGGAGUCACCAACGGCAAAGACAGCACGAUGUGUGCCGAGAAGCCUUGAGAGGGCUGGGUACAGGACCUCCACAGCACUGUGGACGGCUGGGUGCCAGGGACCCCUCAGAGAGGACAUGGGGCUCUGCUUACACAGAUGUGUGCAAUGAGCUCAGUGGUCAGUCUCUCCGCCAGGCAGGGAAUCGUGGCCUUUCCUUCGUCCAGCAGAGCACUGGGAGAGAGAGCAAGAGGGACAUCCGUGGUCACGUGGACAGCACAUCAGAGUCUGCAUGUGCAGAUGGGUGGCCGGGACAGACUCAGGCGCUUCCAACCGAACACAAGGGCAUACAGCUGGUACCCAAGCAAUGCUCACAGCUGGAUCAGACCUGGUUGCCUGUGGGCAGCUCAGGUAUGUCCACAGAGGCUGGAACUGUCCCUUCCAGCUCAUCAAAUAAAUGUGUCUCAAGACAUCCAACUGCAGAUUUGGUCUCCAAAACAUACACGUGUGCACCUCAGACACGCUUCCGUAGCACACACACACCCUUCCGUGUGUAACAGGCGUGACUACACAGCACCUGUGGGGACAGGACUGCACACAAACAUGGUGCCUAUUUACAUACACACGUGACAACUGGGGAACCCAGAGACACAGCUGCCCCAGGAUGAGAACUGCAACCAUGUUCACGUGGAGGAGGGAGGCCACAGAGUCUCCUUGUAAUGCCAAACUUGGGCCCACAGGGUGAGGUAUUGCAGGUCUCUGACAUUGGUAGUCCCUGAGGGUGGCAGGCGGCAGGGGCUGGAGACCCUCACCAAGCCUGACUGUCCACAAGCAUCCAUUUUUCCCAACGUGUAUGAAACAUGCCAUGUUGUUUGACUUUUAGCUAUUUAGAGUGCACACUUCAGAGACGCCAUGACUUUGACACUGUGGCUCAGCACGGCCACCUCCCACCUCCAGAACUUUCCUGUCUUGGAACGUUGCUCCAUUAACCGCCAAGCCCCAUUCCCACCUCCUCCAAGGCCUGGCCAGUUCCUCUCCUGUGGCUGUGAGUUUCCUGGCUCCAGGGACCUCGUCCAGUGCAGACACACGGCCUUGGUCUGGUGUCACAGUCUUUCCCUUGGCACAGUGUCUUCAAGGUCCAGCCACGUGGCAGCAGGAGGGGGCUUCCUGCCUUUCUGAGCCUGGACGGGAGCGUCCACCUCCUGCCCACAGCUACCCUGCUUCUGCACUCCUCGCUCCUCGGAUGUUGGGUGUCUCUCACCUUCUGGCUGCUGUGGAACGCACUGCAGCUGCCACUCUGUGCAUGCACCUGGGACAUCCUGUCACUCCAUGGGACGCCCGGAAGCCCCCCGGGGAACUGAAGGCAAUAAGGCUGAGACUCCACCUGGCUCUUGUUUGCGAUCCCACCAGCGUGUCAGUCAGUGCUGCCUUCUGAAGAGGCCUCAGCGGACACAGGCACUUCUGCACCUGCGACUGCAGAUGCCGGGGCGAGGUCACAGGGACGCGCAUGGUCACCUUUCAUGGCUAAGUUAACUACAGCUGAUGUCCGUUUUGGUCUGCUAGUUAGGGAAGACCCCAUUCAGGCUUCCCCAGGUGUUCAACACAACCCCAUGCCCCUGACUGGCAGCGACCUCUCUGGCUCCUUGGGUGAACUGUGCGUUGGUCAGUGUCAAACACGCAGGCACCUGUGUCCGACCUGGGCUCUCUGUUUGUCUCUGUUGUUCCAUCCGUGUUUCUGCUCUGGUUCCAGCCCCAUACGCUUAGAUGACCGCAGUAAGCAGCCUCCUUAUUCCCUUAAAUUAGGGGGCAAGGCUGUGUGCGUCCCUUUCCUCUCAGGACAGCUCCGCAGUCAGUGCCGGGGGCACACAGGCUGAUGCACACUCACUCCCAUGUGAGCGCGCGCACACACACACACACACACACGCUGCCAACACCUGCUUCAGCCCAGCCACUCUCCCCGGCAGGGACGGCCACCUUGCUUGGGGCUGGCCUUGGGGAAGCGCAGCUGACCAACCUGAACUGAGGGUGGUCCUCGAAGAAGGCCUUCUCCUUCUGCAGGGCCUCGGCCAGGCUCAGCCGUGACUGGAUGUCGUGCUGGCCGCGGCACUUGACGAUCAUGUAGCCCUUCUUCAGGUGGCACACGAGGUUCCUCACCACGUCCACCACGGUGUCUUCAGUGCCUUUGUCCACCAGGUCGGGCUUCGUCAGAAUUCCUGCCAGCCAGGGACUGGGAUCAGAGACCGUGCAGUGUCCCAAGGCAGAGGGAAGAACCAGCCCCCAGGCCUCCUCCCAGCCCAGGGCCAGCAGACAAGGGCCCCUACAGAACCCACGAGCAAGCUGGAGUCCGAGUCCACAAAGACUUGAAGGGAAGGCCUCAGGGAAACAGGGGGCCAUGCUAGAGGGGUGGCCCUUCCCCGGCUCCUGCACCCAGGCCCAUGGAGGGACAGGCCGUGUUCUGUCCGUCCUUCACCAUGCACAGACCAGCCUGGCUGCCCUCCAGAGAUCUCAACUGGGAGCUUCUCCUUCCUGUUCCUGCCCACCCUCGGAGCCCAGGGCGCCUUCCCAAAGGGACAUGGGUCAGGAGGCCAUGAGGUGGCCAAUAAGGAUCAACGUGGCUCCCUUCCUCCAGACCCAGUGGACAUGGAACCUACACCUGGGGGGGUUCCUGAGCCACGUGCAGGUACCCUCGGCCAGCCAGCCUCUCCCCUGGACUCAGGGAUGUGGUCCCACCGUCGGCUCCCUGCUUCUCACCUAUGGUCCUGUCUCCGUCAGGGUCCACCUCCUGCGCCAUGCUCAGUGCCUCCGUGGUGGCGAUGUCCACGUUGCUGGGGACCACCACCAGGUUGAUGGUCUCCUGCUUCUGGAUAUACUUCCUGAUGAGUCGCUUGAUCUAUAGGAAAAAGAGGCUGUGACUUCCCAGCACUGGGCUGGACAAGCAGGAGACACAUUGGGGUGGACAAGCAGGGGACAGGCCCAGACCAUGCACUUGCACUCAGGCACUCAGUGUCUGCAACCUCCUCCGUGGGCAAGUGAACCUGCGAGCACAACCCCGUGGCUCUGCCAAGCCAGACUCAGGGCAGCGGUGCCUGCGGACUGUGGAGCCCCAGGUCAGGGAAGGCUGUGAGGCUGUGGCUGCCUACUGUCCCUGAGGCCUCAGAUCUGAGGGUCCCAGUGGAUUGCAAGACACCAGACCUACUGCCUGACUCACUUCCUGAGUCUUCCUUCCUGGGGUGAGAGCCACGGAGGCCAUGUGUCACCUCCUCUGCGCCUUCACCCUCUCUGCCCACUAGGAGCCCUCUAAGAGAUGGCAGGGUGCGUGCCACACAAAACUUCACCGUGACCCAACCAAGGCUCGGCUGAACACACAGAGAUGAUGCCUUCCUGCAUUCUGAGGCCCAAAGUCCCUUCUUCUCUAAGGAAGGGGACGAGGUGACGCUCUGAUGUCUGAAAUGCUCAAGGAGCGUCCAGAGCUCCCGACCAUGGACUCUUGGAGGCUACAGAAGUGCAGGCUGUGCUCCCACAGGCAGGAAGGACAGAGCUGCCUGUCUGCAUGGUCGUCUCCGUCCACUGGGGAUCGUGACACUGGCUCUCCACUGCCACUCGCCUCCACACGCCCCCUUCAACCAGGACCUGGACUCCCGGCUGCACUCAUGCAGCGCCCCCUCAUCCGGGGCACAGGCAGGUGGAGGCUGGAGUCUCACCUGGCGCCCGAUGUCAGUGGGCUGAUUGCCAACAGCCACCCUGGUAAUGCCAGGAAGGUCGAUGAGGGUCAGAUCCGGGACGCUGGGGGAGCUGACCUCCAGGCUGAUGAGCUCAUCGCUGAUGCCCAGCCCUGUCCCGGCGAUGAGGUUCUGGGCUGUGGAGAGGAGAGGACACGGGGUGCAGCUGAAGGGCGGUGCCCCAUUUAGGGAGCCUGCCACAGCAGCUCUGGCUCGGGGGUCCUGGGGGGCAGCAGGUUUGGAGCCCCUUCCCCUUUGGAGAUUGGACCCCAUGUUUCCUCAAGAGGUGACUCGGUACUUUCCCUGCUGUGCCCAGGACUGUCUAUAGAGGGACCUGGGACAUCUCCACUGGGCCAGCCUGGAACCCUUCCUGAUGGCAUGCCGUGACCCUCCCCUGGGUGUGGGAGGAGAGUCACAGAGAGGAAGGUGAGGACACCAGGGGACCCAGACCAGAGAUGGGAACUUGUUAGGGCACUAGGAACCGGUGAGUUCUGUUAGGAGCCUGCUUUUCUCUGGACCCCUCUCGGUAUUGACACAUUUAGAAUGGGAGAAGGUUCCUGAGGGCCACCUGGUGCUUCUGAAGGUAGACACCAUCUCUCUGGAAUGUCUGUUACAGUCUAGAACAUGGCUGCAAAUAAUGACGUCGGCAUGUGUGGCCAAGGCAGCUCACUGCUCCUGCAGUACCCAGGUCCCCAAGUCGUGUGUGUGACCCUAACAUGAGGCAGAGGAGGUGCAGUAGCUCUGGGGUGGGUGAAGGGAGGGCUCCCGAGGGAGCAGGCCCAAGGCAGGGGAGACGGGGACCCUCUGCACUAGCUGGGCCUGGUGUCCAGGCAAGACCCCGGGCACUCACCUUUAUUGAUUUCCCCUUCCACCUGGGAAGCCUCUGAGAGCUCCAACUCCAUGUCCAGGUAACUGACCUUGGCCCUCCACUCAUCCUCCUGCCCCAGUUUCUUCAUCCUCAGCACAAGAGGGCACCUGGUGACGAUACCUAGGAGACCACACUAAUGUCAGUCCUCUGCUCUGCUCUGUAGGCUGGAGGGGCCAUGCACGCACAGAUCAACAAGGUUGAUGCCAUCAUCAGGGGAGAUGCCCAGGCAGAAGCCUCUGGACUCAAAACCCUGCAGUGACCUCAUGCACUGGGGCAUCGCGUCUGUGGUGACCUCAGACAUGAGCUUUUGGAACAGUCACCCCAGUGACUUUCUCUCAUUCAUCUAAACCCAUGAACACUUCGGGGUUUCAACCCAAUGUACUGCCUUCAGCUCAGGUGACAAUCUCCCAAACACAGGCAAGCGGCCCUCCCUGCUCCUGAGCCACCCCCCACUCACUACUCCCCCAGGACACAUUCCCGUUCAGAAGGAGCGUCUAUAAGCCCUCUCUGAAUCCUGGCUGUCUAAGAGCUCAGCCUCUGAGCUCUCACAGGCUCCCCUGUCCAUGCAAGUCAAAGGCAUCACUCUAAGAUGCCCAUCAUUGUCCCCCCAGCUGGCCAGUAACCUGGUGGGAUGAGCUCAGGAGAGACACCCAGGUGCACUGUGUUCUGGGCAGGGACACUAUCCAUUCAGACUCUCCACCAACUGCAGACCCCAUACAAUCCACAAAGGCGUGCAACCAGACGGUGUAAGAGACAGAGAGCCCUUCACCCCAAAUGCACAGGCUGAGCCAAUCACCCCGAUGUGACUGCCUUUGCAGAUGGGGCCACUGAAGAGGCAAUUAGAGUUGACAGAUGUCAUCAGGGGUCACAACAGGAAAGUCCUGACCCAUGUGAUUGGCAUCUUUGUAAAAUUACGUGGAGACCCCAGGAAUCUUGCCCAGAGAAGAGGCCACGUGAGGUUAGGGCACAGUGAAGAGGUGGCCACCUGCAGGCCCAGAAGGACCUCAGGAGAACCCACCUUCACCUUCCACCUGCAGCCUCCAGACUGUGGAGAAUACAGAACUGCUCUGGGAGCCACCAGGUGCCCGAGGACAAUAGUUAGAAAUGAGUUCUCACCACUGCCCCUGGGGAGAGCCACUCCCGACAGAGCCUCCAGCACAGAGCUCUUGCCCGAGCUCUGGUCCCCAAUGACGGCGAUGGCAGGCAGGGCCAAAUCCCGCUCCACGCCCAGGGCCCGCAGGGAGUCGAUGAGGUCGAUGCAGGGGCGCACCUUCUCCUCAUACUGCCUGCAGAGGUUGAACUCGGACCCCUGGAGAAGGCCAAGAGGACACUCUGUUAUGUGCAGGUCACGCUCCACCAAAGAUGGCAAUGUGGACAGGAGUAAUAUAGGGUCCCUGGAAUCCCACCAAGGGGAGGGGGGAUACCUGACGAAGUCCUGCACGCACCCCUCCAUCGAAUGCAAAACAUAAACCAAAGGUCCAAAACCCUCAUAAAGACCCCAAAACAGGAAAUACAAAACAAACUACAUCCAUGCACCUUAGAGUCAACUUGUUGUAGCACAGGGCCAAAGAGGAAAUGCUAAAAGGGCUAGCACCUGAAAAACCCUCUACAGAGGAUCAAAGACGGGCUAGACAGCAGCUUCCUACCACCCACCAACCAGGUGGGGAGACACUGCUUCUGGUGCAGGUUGGUUUAUUUGGUGCUGGGUUUCAGUCCAAGGCUUCCCACUCUACUGAGCACAGCCCUAACCCUGGGCUGUACCCUCCUUCUCUGACAGCCUUAACACACUCAGAAAACCCCAGGAACGUGGGAUUCUAGACCAACCAAAAAAGAAGCAGGAUGAGCAUGGCUUGGGCGGUGGGUGACCCAGGGACGGCUGGGGCAGCGUGUCUCCCGCCAGCACAGCUGGCCUUCAUCUAGAAGCAGGCAGGAACCAGGCUGGUGACUCUGUUCUAUUUUAAGGAGGAUUCAUUAGGCUGCUAUUCUUUUUUUUUUUUUUUAGAAGUUGCGUGCCUUGGCAGGACGUGAUGGCCAGUGUGGGAUUCCGACAAGGCAACCUCAUCCUGCUCUGCACUCUCCCCUAGGAUGGUUCCAUGAAAAGUGAUAAACACUGCAGUGCAGGUGGCCUCCGGGAGCACAAGGGUUCCAGAGGGCCAGAGACAACCCCCGGGCCAUUGACGCUGAUCCUGUCCCCAUGCUACGUCUCUAAUUCUCCAGGUCUCAGCUGCAGAGGGCCUGAGUACGUACAGUUCCCACACCUUCCAGGCUCUGCGGAUGCUGUGGCCGGGGGCGCAUUUGAGAACCACCGUCACUCUUACCUUGAAGUGGACGUGUGGGUUCACAGACGUACACCCACACCCAGACUAGAAAAGACCAGCUGCUUCCCAGGCAGGUGGGGAGAGUAGAGGUUACAAUUUGGACCUGUCUCCCGGAGGCACAUGUGGUGAAGCCUUGGUUCCCAGCUUGGAAUUACUGGGAGCUAGUUUGUAGUAUAACAGGAGAGGCCUGGGGAGACGUAGGGGCCAGACUUCCUCUCUCUUUUGUCUCCCAGCCUUUGAGGGGAGCACCGUGUGUGGCAAGGCUCCCUGGCGUGCUCUGACACCACAUCUCAAGGAAACAGUAAGUUGUCAUGAACUGAAACCUCUGCCACCAUGAACUGAGUCAGUCUUGUCCCUCCUGGAGCAGGACAUUUGGGUCCUUGCACGCUCUGUUGGGGCCCAGGUGCAACCAAGUGGGUUAUCUCAAUGUGGCUGGGCGCCAUGUUGUUCUGGGAGACCACGGGAUGCAGAUGGGCUGGUGUAGGGACAGGGCUGGCAUCCACACCCAGGGCGCACUGUGCUGCCCCUGUCUCACCACGGGUCAGUGUGGAGGUCUCACUAGGACACUCCAUCCCUAGGGAAGCCACGUGGUCUCCACAGUGUAGAACGGAGACCUUUUGGGGGCGAAGCAGACAUGGGGUGAGGACUGAGGCGCCCUGGAGACGGAUCCCAACACUGGCCCUUUCAGCCGGGUGAUGUGACAGGUUCUCCUCCCUCCACAGUCCGGCUUCCCAGCUCUAAGGAGGAGUCACGACAGUACUCGCUCUCGAGGCCCUGGGGAGGAGUCAGGGCAGCUCAAGCCAGGUCCUUGGUGGGGGGGGCUGGGGUCUUUGCUAUUCCGGGUUUGAAAUGCUGGCCUGUCGCCUGCUCUGGUGGACUCCAUUUCCAAGCAAUACUCAACAGUUGUCCAAUGGUGUCAGCAGCAGUGUUGAAGUCACAGGCAAAUGAGAAGGCCCACCCGAUGCCUCCUCUCCUUACAGACCUGCUUAUGUUUCCCUCCCAGACGCCCCUCCUGCUGGGUUAUAAGUCUUAGGGUGGGGAUGGGAAGGACUCACACCCACUGUGACGGUCAUCUUCCUGUUACUGUGUCAAAAUUCCCAAAAUAAAGCAUCCCUCUGAACAGA
Marmota monax (woodchuck) is the source of this 12742-nucleotide long non-coding RNA. RefSeq lists it as uncharacterized. The transcript is spliced from 2 exons. The record is from RefSeq and is a predicted model, not a curated record. Lineage: Eukaryota; Metazoa; Chordata; Mammalia; Rodentia; Sciuridae.